CAGCCGCCACGGUAAUACGAAGGGGGCUAGCGUUGUUCGGAAUUACUGGGCGUAAAGCGCACGUAGGCGGACAUUUAAGUCAGGGGUGAAAUCCCGGGGCUCAACCCCGGAACUGCCUUUGAUACUGGGUGUCUAGAGUAUGGAAGAGGUGAGUGGAAUUCCGAGUGUAGAGGUGAAAUUCGUAGAUAUUCGGAGGAACACCAGUGGCGAAGGCGGCUCACUGGUCCAUUACUGACGCUGAGGUGCGAAAGCGUGGGGAGCAAACAGGAUUAGAUACCCCAGUAGUCCCUGUCUCUUAUAC
Molecule: ribosomal RNA, 301 nt
Filed under: uncultured bacterium
Lineage: Bacteria
Description: partial 16S ribosomal RNA
Rfam family: Bacterial small subunit ribosomal RNA
Source: RNAcentral